RNAcentral lists this long non-coding RNA (447 nucleotides) under Gossypium raimondii (Peruvian cotton). RNAcentral's name for it is "long non-coding RNA (GRAI_LNC003755)". Lineage: Eukaryota; Viridiplantae; Streptophyta; Magnoliopsida; Malvales; Malvaceae. The record is from RNAcentral.
AAAGCCAUUUAAUUUUAAACACCAAGACUUGAAUUUAUUUUAAAGCCGACACUACCUAAUUUCGAUCGGGAAAUAUUACGACUCGUUAUUUCAUACGAAACGAGCUCGUAUCAGUUGGUAUCAAAGCUGGUUAAUUUAUGUACGUAAAUUGUAGUUUUUGAAAAAAAUCAAAAAAAAUCGAAAAGAAAAAAAUUGAAAAAAAAUAUUGCAUACGGUCUAGGUGCGGACGAAAAGACGUGAAAGAUCCGUAAAAAAAAAAAAGAGUCUGGAAACACUUCAACAAAAAUUUUCCCAAAAUCACUUUCUACACUCCUUUAUAUCCAUCUUAGUGAAAUUUCACGCUAUUUAAAAAAAAAUUUAUAUAUACGCCACAUCUUCAAACCAUUCUUUUCUUUCGAGCCUACCUAAACCAUAUCAUAUUCCUUUGUUUAGGCCCUUGAAGCCGAC